AGAGUUUGAUCAUGGCUCAGGACGAACGCUGGCGGCGUGCUUAACACAUGCAAGUCGAGCGGUAAGGCUCCUUCGGGAGUACACGAGCGGCGAACGGGUGAGUAACACGUGAGCAAUCUGCCCUUCACUUUGGGAUAACCCUCGGAAACGAGAGCUAAUACCGAAUACGACCACUUCCGGCAUCGGAUGGUGGUGGAAAGUUCCGGCGGUGAAGGAUGAGCUCGCGGCCUAUCAGCUUGUUGGUGAGGUAAUGGCUCACCAAGGCUUCGACGGGUAGCCGGCCUGAGAGGGUGACCGGCCACACUGGGACUGAGACACGGCCCAGACUCCUACGGGAGGCAGCAGUGGGGAAUAUUGGACAAUGGGCGAAAGCCUGAUCCAGCAACGCCGCGUGAGGGAUGACUGCCUUCGGGUUGUAAACCUCUUUCAGCGGGGACGAAGCGAAAGUGACGGUACCCGCAGAAGAAGCACCGGCCAACUACGUGCCAGCAGCCGCGGUAAUACGUAGGGUGCGAGCGUUGUCCGGAAUUAUUGGGCGUAAAGGGCUCGUAGGCGGUUUGUCACGUCGGGAGUGAAAACUCAGGGCUUAACCCUGAGCCUGCUUCCGAUACGGGCAGACUAGAGGUAUGCAGGGGAGAACGGAAUUCCUGGUGUAGCGGUGAAAUGCGCAGAUAUCAGGAGGAACACCGGUGGCGAAGGCGGUUCUCUGGGCAUUACCUGACGCUGAGGAGCGAAAGUGUGGGGAGCGAACAGGAUUAGAUACCCUAGUAGUCC
Molecule: ribosomal RNA, 774 nt
Filed under: uncultured bacterium
Lineage: Bacteria
Description: bacterial SSU rRNA
Rfam family: Bacterial small subunit ribosomal RNA
Source: RNAcentral